This 269-nucleotide ribosomal RNA is filed under the name uncultured Planctomycetales bacterium. Its description in RNAcentral is "partial 16S ribosomal RNA". It matches the Rfam family "Bacterial small subunit ribosomal RNA", at positions 565 to 832 of the family's 1533-position model. The record is from RNAcentral. Lineage: Bacteria; Pseudomonadati; Planctomycetota; Planctomycetia; Planctomycetales.
GAGCACGUAGGUGGGUUUGUAAGUCAGAUGUGAAAGCCUUCUGUUCAACGGAAGAAUUGCAUCUGAAACUGCGAGUCUUGAGUGUAGGAGGGGAGAAUGGAACUUCUGGUGAAGCGGUGAAAUGCGUAGAUAUCAGAAGGAACGCCGGCGGCGAAAGCGAUUCUCUGGCCUAUUACUGACACUCUGUGUGCGAAAGCUAGGGGAGCAAACGGGAUUAGAUACCCCGGUAGUCCUAGCCGUAAACGAUGGGCACUAAGUAGAGGGGUUUU